UACGGGAGGCGCAGUGGGGAAUAUUGCACAAUGGGCGAAAGCCUGAUGCAGCAACGCCGCGUGAAGGAUGAAGGCCCUUGGGUCGUAAACUUCUGUUCUAAGGGAAGAUAAUGACGGUACCUUAGGAGCAAGUCCCGGCUAACUACGUGCCAGCAGCCGCGGUAAU
This 166-nucleotide ribosomal RNA is filed under the name uncultured rumen bacterium. RNAcentral's name for it is "partial 16S ribosomal RNA". It matches the Rfam family "Bacterial small subunit ribosomal RNA", at positions 340 to 524 of the family's 1533-position model. The record is from RNAcentral.